This 88-nucleotide transfer RNA is filed under the name Tuber melanosporum Mel28. Its description in RNAcentral is "tRNA-Ile for anticodon AAU". It matches the Rfam family "tRNA". From Rfam's summary of the family: Transfer RNA (tRNA) molecules are approximately 80 nucleotides in length. Their secondary structure includes four short double-helical elements and three loops (D, anti-codon, and T loops). The record is from Rfam by way of RNAcentral. Lineage: Eukaryota; Fungi; Ascomycota; Pezizomycetes; Pezizales; Tuberaceae.
GGUUCCAUGGCUCAGUUGGUUAGCGCGUGGUGCUAAUAUUCUUCAGAUGUUAACGCCAAGGUCGAGGGUUCGACCCCCUCUGGAACCA